GACGAACGCUGGCGGCGUGCUUAACACAUGCAAGUCGAGCGGUAAGGCCCUUUCGGGGGUACACGAGCGGCGAACGGGUGAGUAACACGUGGGUGACCUGCCCUCAGCUCUGGGAUAAGCCCGGGAAACUGGGUCUAAUACCGGAUAUGACACAUCGUUGCAUGAUGGUGUGUGGAAAGUUUUCGGUCUGGGGAGUGGGCCCGGCGGCCUAUCAGCUUGUUGGUGGGGUGGAUGGCCUACC
This 241-nucleotide ribosomal RNA is filed under the name uncultured bacterium. RNAcentral's name for it is "partial 16S ribosomal RNA". It matches the Rfam family "Bacterial small subunit ribosomal RNA", at positions 28 to 269 of the family's 1533-position model. The record is from RNAcentral.